Molecule: long non-coding RNA, 1235 nt
Organism: Cyprinus carpio carpio
Lineage: Eukaryota; Metazoa; Chordata; Actinopteri; Cypriniformes; Cyprinidae
Source: Ensembl
UUGUCUAGAUCUGAACCAGCUUUAAACUAUAGGAAGGUUCGGGUUCGUCAUCGUAAAGAUCACUUUUGGAAAUCGAUUAUGCGCCAAUAUUUACGUGCUCCUCGCCGGCGAUCAAUCCGAGACUCGGGUCCAAUUUUUGACCCCAGUUUGAAGUAGAAACCUGACGCGUGACGCUCCGGAAUGGACAGACUAUACUAUAGUAACAUCACAUAGGCACGUUGUAGCGUGCGAAUAAUUAAAUUGGAAGCAGACAAGAACACUGAGAAACAAACUGUAACAAACUGGUAAGUUAACCCUUUCGCUUCGUAUUGAGGCACUAGUAACCUCCAUCCGGUUAGACGUUUCUUGCGAGUUUGAGUGUGGAGCGCGGCGCAACAUUUUGGCUAUUACCAAAAUUUUUAACUAAGCACUCCCAUCUACUGUCGCCAUUUUAUACAUAGAGGCGACUUCACGCGCCGCAUAUGAGUGGAAUAACAAGGCACGCUUCUCUCUACUAGAACUACUUUUGAAGACUGUUCGCGUCACCGAAAGAAAUCGCUUUCACUUCUUUGAAAAGUCAAAGUUCCCUACCUUUUCGUCGGCUCUGGUGACUGCAAAUGGAAAUCCGUUAUUGAUACAGAAAUAAAUAACAUUUAGGUUUCGCUCCGCUCCGGUUCUCGGGGGAACAGGAGGGGCCGAGACCUCUCCUCAGAUGAACCCUGUGAACUAACGUGAACCCGUCGGGUCACCGCGAUAAGGAGCAUCUACUGCUUUAUGGCACACUGGUUAUGUGCCCGGCUGACAUGGGCGCUGCUGGAGUGGCGAGAAGGGAAAGAAAUGACGGGCUGAGCAGACACACUGAAGGGAGUGACUCAUGCGCAAAUGUCUAAUAUAGCCAGAAAUAUGGAGCAGCGCUUUCGGACGUGGUGGAAGACCUGCUAUCCAGGGGCUCCCCCUCACGCCACAGUGGCAAUUACACCUUCAGAUAUGCAGCUUUUUUCUUUUUUUCUUUUUUUUUUUUUUUUGACAGUACAGGCAGAGAUGAAUCUGAUUGGAUAAAGCCCGAAAACACCUACUGUCCAUUAUGAGAUGGUUGCCAUGCGGUUUGGGCUUUUCCUUCAUUAAGGCCUCGGCACAAAUUUUUCAUGGUGUAAAUACACAAUGAACAUAGUCUAGCUUUGUAAAUAUUAUACACAGGAAAUUGAGGUUAGCUGUCACAGUGACUAUAUUUCAGUAAUAAGGUUUUUACUCAAAAG